CGGAACCAGUUAGCUGGGCGGAGAAGAUGGUGAUUUCCACCACCAUCCCCACGUGGGAGCUUCCAGGUCAUUGGAUGAUGGUAAAACAUUUUAAUCGUGUCCCUUCAUUUGGUUGACUUAUUUUAAUUCCAUUUGUGGCGCAUUUGACUAAGAAUCAUGGUGCAUCAAUGCCUCUGAAUCACAUGAUGUGUGCCACGUCAUUUAAUGAAUGAUCCAAGGGCGCUGGACUUUUGCUUUUUCU
RNAcentral lists this long non-coding RNA (241 nucleotides) under Lathyrus oleraceus (garden pea). RNAcentral's name for it is "Pisum sativum (pea) long non-coding RNA (PSAT_LNC000424)". The record is from RNAcentral. Lineage: Eukaryota; Viridiplantae; Streptophyta; Magnoliopsida; Fabales; Fabaceae.